GGUCCGCUGGCUCAAUGUCAGAGCGUCUGACUACGAAUCAGGAGGUUCCAGGUUCGACCCCUGGGUGGAUCG
This 72-nucleotide transfer RNA is filed under the name Bombardia bombarda. It matches the Rfam family "tRNA". From Rfam's summary of the family: Transfer RNA (tRNA) molecules are approximately 80 nucleotides in length. Their secondary structure includes four short double-helical elements and three loops (D, anti-codon, and T loops). Lineage: Eukaryota; Fungi; Ascomycota; Sordariomycetes; Sordariales; Lasiosphaeriaceae. The record is from Rfam by way of RNAcentral.